AUGGAUAUUUCAUGUGGGUAAAACAACAAAUAUCAACCAGAACUAAUCAUGAUCAACUCAACAAUGCUCUCUUCAUAGGAAUACUAAAUUUUACCGUAAAUUAACUACAGAUACAUCUUGCUACUAUCGCUACAACACGGGCGCAGUGCUCGUCGCCGCCGCGACGGCGACGACAAAGCUACUGUCGCUACAACACGGCGCAGGUGCUCGUCGCCGGGGACAAUGAAGUUACACGCUGCUGCUUAAUCUAUGUUCACUUACUAUACAAGUUAAAUCAAGAGAUGCUCCCC
This 290-nucleotide long non-coding RNA is filed under the name Salvia miltiorrhiza (redroot sage). Its description in RNAcentral is "long non-coding RNA (SMIL_LNC008917)". The record is from RNAcentral. Lineage: Eukaryota; Viridiplantae; Streptophyta; Magnoliopsida; Lamiales; Lamiaceae.